Zeugodacus cucurbitae (melon fly) is the source of this 1538-nucleotide long non-coding RNA. RefSeq lists it as uncharacterized. The record is from RefSeq and is a predicted model, not a curated record. NCBI's taxonomy places the organism in Eukaryota, Metazoa, Arthropoda, Insecta, Diptera, Tephritidae. The transcript is spliced from 3 exons.
UUCACAUAUUAAACUUAAAAAUUCCCAACUUUAAUAUGAGCGGGUGUCACUGGCAUCAAAUUCAUAAAUUUUUUAAGCAACUAAAUUUUUAAAGCAAAAAAAUUGUUGUUGCGUCAAAAUUCUAAUACAAAUCAUCUAAUCAUUUCUCAACUCGUAAUGCCAUAUUUAGCAUUUCGCAUGUCAAAAGCAGGUAAGCGACUGUCAAGUGAACCAACAAAUAGUUAGCAAUUUGUUUGUCAUAAAUUACGCAACGUAUACUUGCUAAGCGCGCAGCUGCACGCACAUUAGUGCUACCAAAAUACACAAACCACUAAAUGGACAAGCUGUACGGGCCUAAACCGCUUGUCAUUUCAUUUGUCAUGCACCAAAACGCACAACUCAAACGCUGUAUAUAAAUUAUGUAUCACCUUAAAAGCUGAGCUGAGCCGAGGAUGAACGCAUAAAUGCCAAUCGCUCAUACUACUUUACAACAAAAACAAUAACAACAACAGCAAUACAAAUGAAGAGCAUAAAUGAAAAACUAAAAGAUGCCUAGGGUCCAGCAGACACAUUCUUUCAGACAGCAUCCACUUAGUACGCGUCGCCAAGCCGAGACAGCUGUCAAGGCAUCAAGCACAAUAACAACACACACACACUCGCCGACCCAAAGUUGUUGAAAAAUGAAGUAAUUGUGAAGAAUGGUGCGGCAACAAACUGGGCUGGCCAGACAGUGAGGCGGUGGAGCUGGAUAGUAGAGAACUGUCGAAACAAUAAUAACAACAGCAACGAUGGAGUACGCACGCAUAGGAAGUCACUCAGCCAUCACACUCACACCAACACCAUCUCAUACCAGCGGAGCGCCUUCAAAUGUCAAAGCGUACGUUGUUGUUGCACGCAUGCGUCCACAAAGUGAUCACUCAUGUUUUGGGUUCGCCGUUGUAGCGCGGAAUGGUGGGGAAUUCGGUGGGGCACACUCACAGUCAAGCGCGUGGAGUGAGCAGCAACACGUACGCACCAUAAACGAUACAGGAAACUGAUGAAUGCCGCGUACAUAGACUCCCCAUGCAUGGCGGCAUUCCAUCACACAGGCCCUAUUGCAACUCGCCUGAAAUGGCUUUUGGAAUAGCUGAUGAAAUGCGCAUGAAUUAAAUAUGAUGUAUUGCCGGGAUAUUGGCUCUGGCUUUGGCUAGGCCGUUGGAUUAUGGCUGGUGUGCUCUGGCGUUGAAGAAAAAUGGAUUUACAAUGUUGCCGAUUUAAAUAGGUUGCAAGUUCGUAGUGUGUGGAGUGGCAAAGGAGCGGAAAAAUUUAUAUUUAUCAAAGGCGGUUGUGUGUGUGCAUCACUCAUGUGCUGUGUCCAUUAUUGGUUAUGUCAAAGUGGAGAAGUUAAUAGAUUUUUGUAAUUUCGGAAAUAUAUAAGCUGUUACGGUACUUUCACAGCGGAGGUAGAGAAUUUAAUUUGUAGUUUGAUUAAUAGUAAAAUUGUUUUCUGUGGAAUGUGCUAUUAUGUACUAUUUCAAAAUUGAAACAACUUGAAAGUCAUUAAAAUGAAAAUGAAAAUC